UACGUAGGGGGCAAGCGUUGUCCGGAUUUAUUGGGCGUAAAGAGCGUGUAGGCGGUUAUACAGGUCCGCUGUGAAAACUGGAGGCUUAACCUCCAGACGUCGGUGGAAACCGUAUGACUAGAGUCCGGAAGAGGAGAGUGGAAUUCCUGGUGUAGCGGUGAAAUGCGCAGAUAUCAGGAAGAACACCUAUGGCGAAGGCAGCUCUCUGGGACGGUACUGACGCUGAGACGCGAAAGCGUGGGGAGCGAACAGG
Molecule: ribosomal RNA, 253 nt
Filed under: uncultured bacterium
Lineage: Bacteria
Description: partial 16S ribosomal RNA
Rfam family: Bacterial small subunit ribosomal RNA
Source: RNAcentral